GAUGAACGCUGGCGGCGUGCCUAAUACAUGCAAGUCGAGCGAACAGACGAGGAGCUUGCUCCUCUGACGUUAGCGGCGGACGGGUGAGUAACACGUGGAUUACCUACCUAUAAGACUGGGAUAACUUCGGGAAACCGGAGCUAAUACCGGAUAAUAUAUUGAACCGCAUGGUUCAAUAGUGAAAGACGGUUUUGCUGCCACUUAUAGAUGGAUCCGCGCCGCAUUAGCUAGUUGGUAAGGUAACGGCUUACCAAGGCAACGAUGCGUAGCCGACCUGAGAGGGUGAUCGGCCACACUGGAACUGAGACACGGUCCAGACUCCUACGGGAGGCAGCAGUAGGGAAUCUUCCGCAAAGGGCGAAAGCCUGACGGAGCAACGCCGCGUGAGUGAUGAAGGUCUUCGGAUCGUAAAACUCUGUUAUUAGGGAAGAACAAAUGUGUAAGUAACUAUGCACGUCUUGACGGUACCUAAUCAGAAAGCCACGGCUAACUACGUG
RNAcentral lists this ribosomal RNA (497 nucleotides) under uncultured bacterium. RNAcentral describes it as "partial 16S ribosomal RNA". It matches the Rfam family "Bacterial small subunit ribosomal RNA", at positions 28 to 507 of the family's 1533-position model. The record is from RNAcentral.